UUAUAUGAGAGUUUGAUCCUGGCUCAGGAUGAACGCUGGCGGCGUGCCUAAUACAUGCAAGUCGAACGAGUUCUGAUUAUUGAAGGGUGCUUGCAUCUUGAUUUAAUUUUGAACGAGUGGCGGACGGGUGAGUAACACGUGGGUAACCUGCCCUUAAGUGGGGGAUAACAUUUGGAAACAGAUGCUAAUACCGCAUAAAUCCAAGAACCGCAUGGUUCUUGGCUGAAAGAUGGCGUAAGCUAUCGCUUUUGGAUGGACCCGCGGCGUAUUAGCUAGUUGGUGAGGUAACGGCUCACCAAGGCAAUGAUACGUAGCCGAACUGAGAGGUUGAUCGGCCACAUUGGGACUGAGACACGGCCCAAACUCCUACGGGAGGCAGCAGUAGGGAAUCUUCCACAAUGGACGCAAGUCUGAUGGAGCAACGCCGCGUGAGUGAAGAAGGCUUUCGGGUCGUAAAACUCUGUUGUUGGAGAAGAAUGGUCGGCAGAGUAACUGUUGUCGGCGUGACGGUAUCCAACCAGAAAGCCACGGCUAACUACGUGCCAGCAGCCGCGGUAAUACGUAGGUGGCAAGCGUUAUCCGGAUUUAUUGGGCGUAAAGCGAGCGCAGGCGGUUUUUUAAGUCUGAUGUGAAAGCCCUCGGCUUAACCGAGGAAGUGCAUCGGAAACUGGGAAACUUGAGUGCAGAAGAGGACAGUGGAACUCCAUGUGUAGCGGUGAAAUGCGUAGAUAUAUGGAAGAACACCAGUGGCGAAGGCGGCUGUCUGGUCUGUAACUGACGCUGAGGCUCGAAAGCAUGGGUAGCGAACAGGAUUAGAUACCCUGGUAGUCCAUGCCGUAAACGAUGAAUGCUAGGUGUUGGAGGGUUUCCGCCCUUCAGUGCCGCAGCUAACGCAUUAAGCAUUCCGCCUGGGGAGUACGACCGCAAGGUUGAAACUCAAAGGAAUUGACGGGGGCCCGCACAAGCGGUGGAGCAUGUGGUUUAAUUCGAAGCAACGCGAAGAACCUUACCAGGUCUUGACAUCUUUUGAUCACCUGAGAGAUCAGGUUUCCCCUUCGGGGCAAAAUGACAGGUGGUGCAUGGUUGUCGUCAGCUCGUGUCGUGAGAUGUUGGGUUAAGUCCCGCAACGAGCGCAACCCUUAUGACUAGUUGCCAGCAUUUAGUUGGGCACUCUAGUAAGACUGCCGGUGACAAACCGGAGGAAGGUGGGGAUGACGUCAAAUCAUCAUGCCCCUUAUGACCUGGGCUACACACGUGCUACAAUGGAUGGUACAACGAGUUGCGAGACCGCGAGGUCAAGCUAAUCUCUUAAAGCCAUUCUCAGUUCGGACUGUAGGCUGCAACUCGCCUACACGAAGUCGGAAUCGCUAGUAAUCGCGGAUCAGCACGCCGCGGUGAAUACGUUCCCGGGCCUUGUACACACCGCCCGUCACACCAUGAGAGUUUGUAACACCCGAAGCCGGUGGCGUAACCCUUUUAGGGAGCGAGCCGUCUAAGGUGGGACAAAUGAUUAGGGUGAAGUCGUAACAAGGUAGCCGUAGGAGAACCUGCGGCUGGAUCACCUCCUUU
RNAcentral lists this ribosomal RNA (1569 nucleotides) under Lacticaseibacillus rhamnosus. RNAcentral describes it as "bacterial SSU rRNA". It matches the Rfam family "Bacterial small subunit ribosomal RNA". Lineage: Bacteria; Bacillati; Bacillota; Bacilli; Lactobacillales; Lactobacillaceae. The record is from RNAcentral.